ACGCGAAGAACCUUACCUGGGUUCGAAAUGCAGGUGUAAACCUCAGAGAUGAGGUCCCCUCUUCGGAGGCACCUGUAUAGGUGCUGCAUGGCUGUCGUCAGCUCGUGUCGUGAGAUGUUGGGUUAAGUCCCGCAACGAGCGCAACCCUUGUCCAUAGUUGCUAACGCGUAGUGGCGAGAACUCUAUGGAGACUGCCGGUGAUAAACCGGAGGAAGGUGGGGAUGACGUCAAGUCCUCAUGGCCUUUAUGUCCAGGGCUACACACGUGCUACAAUGGGCGGUACAAAGAGUUGCGAUCCCGCAAGGGGGAGCUAAUCUCAAAAAGCCGCUCUCAGUUCGGAUUGUUCUCUGCAACUCGAGAGCAUGAAGCUGGAAUCGCUAGUAAUCGCGGAUCAGCACGCCGCGGUGAAUACGUUCCCGGGCCUUGUA
This 428-nucleotide ribosomal RNA is filed under the name uncultured Acidobacterium sp. RNAcentral describes it as "bacterial SSU rRNA". It matches the Rfam family "Bacterial small subunit ribosomal RNA", at positions 959 to 1385 of the family's 1533-position model. The record is from RNAcentral. Lineage: Bacteria; Pseudomonadati; Acidobacteriota; Terriglobia; Terriglobales; Acidobacteriaceae.